GAAUCUGAGAGUUUGAUCCUGGCUCAGGACGAACGCUGGCGGCGCGCUUAACACAUGCAAGUCGAACGGUCCCUUCGGGGAUAGUGGCGCACGGGUGAGUAACGCGUGGGAACCUGCCCUGAGGUACGGGACAACAGAGGGAAACUUCUGCUAAUACCGUAUGAGCCCAUUUCUUUAGCGAGUGAUGGGGAAAGAUUUAUCGCCUUGGGAGGGGCCCGCGUUGGAUUAGCUGGUUGGUGGGGUAAUGGCCUACCAAGGCUUCGAUCCAUAGCUGGUCUGAGAGGAUGAUCAGCCACACUGGGACUGAGACACGGCCCAGACUCCUACGGGAGGCAGCAGUGGGGAAUCUUGG
Molecule: ribosomal RNA, 352 nt
Filed under: Geminicoccaceae bacterium
Lineage: Bacteria; Pseudomonadati; Pseudomonadota; Alphaproteobacteria; Geminicoccales; Geminicoccaceae
Description: bacterial SSU rRNA
Rfam family: Bacterial small subunit ribosomal RNA
Source: RNAcentral